ACACUGGGACUGAGACACGGUCCAGACUCCUACGGGAGGCAGCAGUGGGGAAUAUUGGACAAUGGGCGAAAGCCUGAUCCAGCCAUGCCGCGUGUGUGAAGAAGGUCUUCGGAUUGUAAAGCACUUUAAGUUGGGAGGAAGGGCAUUAACCUAAUACGUUAGUGUUUUGACGUUACCGACAGAAUAAGCACCGGCUAACUCUGUGCCAGCAGCCGCGGUAAUACAA
Molecule: ribosomal RNA, 226 nt
Filed under: Pseudomonas sp. B56
Lineage: Bacteria; Pseudomonadati; Pseudomonadota; Gammaproteobacteria; Pseudomonadales; Pseudomonadaceae
Description: partial 16S ribosomal RNA
Rfam family: Bacterial small subunit ribosomal RNA
Source: RNAcentral